AGUGAACGCUGGCGGUAGGCCUAACACAUGCAAGUCGAACGGCAGCACGGGAGAGCUUGCUCUCUGGGUGGCGAGUGGCGGACGGGUGAGGAAUACAUCGGAAUCUACUCUGUCGUGGGGGAUAACGUAGGGAAACUUACGCUAAUACCGCAUACGACCUACGGGUGAAAGCAGGGGACCUUCGGGCCUUGCGCGAUUGAAUGAGCCGAUGUCGGAUUAGCUAGUUGGCGGGGUAAAGGCCCACCAAGGCGACGAUCCGUAGCUGGUCUGAGAGGAUGAUCAGCCACAAUGGAACUGAGACACGGUCCAGACUCCUACGGGAGGCAGCAGUGGGGAAUAUUGGACAAUGGGCGCAAGCCUGAUCCAGCCAUACCGCGUGGGUGAAGAAGGCCUUCGGGUUGUAAAGCCCUUUUGUUGGGAAAGAAAUCCAGCUGGCUAAUACCCGGUUGGGAUGACGGUACCCAAAGAAUAAGCACCGGCUAACUUCGUGCCAGCAGCCGCAGUAA
RNAcentral lists this ribosomal RNA (506 nucleotides) under uncultured bacterium. Its description in RNAcentral is "partial 16S ribosomal RNA". It matches the Rfam family "Bacterial small subunit ribosomal RNA", at positions 29 to 523 of the family's 1533-position model. The record is from RNAcentral.